UCAGCCGACUCCUACGGGGAGGCAGCAGUGGGGAAUAUUGCACAAUGGGGGAAACCCUGAUGCAGCCAUGCCGCGUGUGUGAAGAAGGACCUUCGGGUUGUAAAGCACUUUCAGUAGGGAGGAAGGUAGUGUAGUUAACACCUGCACUAUUUGACGUUACCUACAGAAGAAGCACCGGCUAACUCCGUGCCAGCAGCCGCGGUAAUACGGAGGGUGCGAGCGUUAAUCGGAAUUACUGGGCGUAAAGCGCAUGCAGGCGGCCUGUUAAGUCAGAUGUGAAAGCCCGGGGCUUAACCUCGGAAUUGCAUUUGAAACUGGCAGGCUAGAGUCUUGUAGAGGGGGGUAGGAAUUUCAGGUGUAGCGGUGAAAUGCGUAGAGAUCUGAAGGAAUACCAGUGGCGAAGGCGGCCCCCUGGACAAAGACUGACGCUCAGAUGCGAAAGCGUGGGGAGCAAACAGGAUUAGAUACCCUGGUAG
RNAcentral lists this ribosomal RNA (476 nucleotides) under uncultured bacterium. RNAcentral's name for it is "bacterial SSU rRNA". It matches the Rfam family "Bacterial small subunit ribosomal RNA", at positions 328 to 793 of the family's 1533-position model. The record is from RNAcentral.